CGCUGUUGCUGGGCCACCUUCUGGAACAGUUGUUCGAUCCUGCUGUUCUGAGCCUUGAGCUGCGUCUGGGGAAUGGUGCAAAUCUUGAUAACAAGAAAGAUUGCACAUUUAUCCAAGUCCACACAAUUAUCUAGACACAGGGCUGAGAAUGGAACGAAUGGAACCCGG
Urocitellus parryii (Arctic ground squirrel) is the source of this 168-nucleotide non-coding RNA. The record is from RefSeq and is a predicted model, not a curated record. NCBI's taxonomy places the organism in Eukaryota, Metazoa, Chordata, Mammalia, Rodentia, Sciuridae.